AGGCGCCCGCCACGACGCCCAGCUGUUUUGUAUUUUUAGUAGAGACGGGGUUUCACCAUGUUGGCCAGGACGGUCUGGAUCUGCAUGCGGGCCACACAGAAGCCCGCCGCCGAGGGGUUUCGGAGGUGGAUACUCUCGUCAGCCGGUUGCUACCGUAGGCGAAGUACAGAAAAAUGUCCUCAUCCGGGCCCGGGACGUCCCUGCAGCCCAAGUUCGCCAUGUCCCACUGCUGCCUGCACGGGAGCCUGGAGCAGAGCUGUGAGGAGCCGCCAGAGAGCGCAGCGCGGCGGCCCAGGACCCCGGCCCAGUGACUGCCUCGCCGCCGCCUCCAGGAAGUUGCACUUUUACCUCAUCCCUCAACAGUUCAGAUCCUCUCACCAGGGGCAACCCCUAUUUUUGGAUUCUUGUGCUAGGAUAUGUUAUCAAAUUUUUUUAAAAAGGGAAGGAACAUCUGACUCUUGGCUCCCACUAAGAUGCUGCCAGAGCGGCUGGUCUCAAAGGGCAAAACAACAGCCCCUGAUGGAAAGUCUUCACGACGCAGCCUCCGAGGUCCUUCCGCUCAAGGAGCAUUUCUCAAGGAUGGAUCAUAACUGACUAUUGUGUGUCUCAAGGUUGGCUCCAAACCAGCAGAAGCUGAAUAAAGAACUGUGAACUUGGAAUGACUGUGGGACGCUAGGCUCUUACUGGUCCUAACUGAAGACUUUUUCCCAACAGCGAGCAAUGGGGCUUCUUUUAACCAACUCUAUUUACAACCUUAGAUUCAUUCCGUUCUUUGCAAAGUACUGGAUUUCAACACUUAAUUAGCAAUAACCACAUGAACCUACCCUGGCAAGCCCUUUAACAACUCUGAAUUUUCCCUCUCAGUGAGCUACUACUUAAUUCAGUAAAUUUCUCCCUAUCCUGUAUUCCUGUGGCUAGCAAGUCAAUAGACUCAGCUUUUAUUUUAUUUUGAGUUGGAGUCUCGCUCUGUCAUUCAGGCUAGAGUGCAGUAGCUUCAUUUUGGCUCACUGCAACCUCUGCCUCCCGGGUUCAAGCGAUUCUCUUGCCUCAGCCUCCUGGGUAGCUGGGACUACAGGCAUGUGCCACCAUGCCCAGCUAAUUUCUGCAUUUCUAGUGGAGAUGGGGUUUCACCAUGUUGGCCAGGCUGGUCUUGAACUCCUCACCUCAAGUGAUCCACCGGCCUCGGCCUCCCAAAGUGCUGGGAUUACAGGCAUGAGCCAGUGCUCCUGACCUCAACUUUUAAUUUUUAUCUAUCGAUCUAGUCUAUUAUUACCCGCUACUUACCUACCCAUCCAUCCAUUCAUCCAUCCAUCCAUCUGCCCAUCCUUUUUUUUGUUUAUUAGCUCUGGUCUUUGUUAUAUUUGUUGAUAGGCCCAAGUAAAUUAGUAUGUGUAAAACUCACUUAAAACAGUGCUUAGCACAUGGUAAGCAUAAUAUGUGAUAGCCCUUAUGAUCUAGUAACUCACCAGUAUCUUGUGUGUAUUAGAACAAUGUGUCUCUGUAAUAUUUUAAUUAUAUCUCUAUAAGAGCAUACAUAAAUGACAAUAUAUAAAUCUCAAUAACAGAAUGUUUCUAACCCAA
Molecule: long non-coding RNA, 1581 nt
Filed under: Homo sapiens (human)
Lineage: Eukaryota; Metazoa; Chordata; Mammalia; Primates; Hominidae
Description: uncharacterized LOC102724720 (LOC102724720)
Source: RNAcentral